Molecule: ribosomal RNA, 253 nt
Filed under: uncultured bacterium
Lineage: Bacteria
Description: partial 16S ribosomal RNA
Rfam family: Bacterial small subunit ribosomal RNA
Source: RNAcentral
UACGUAGGGUGCGAGCGUUAAUCGGAAUUACUGGGCGUAAAGCGUGCGUAGACGGUCGCGUAAGUCAGAUGUGAAAGCCCCGGGCUCAACCUGGGAACUGCAUUUGAGACUGCUCUGCUCGGGUGCGGAAGAGGGAAGCGGAAUUUCCGGUGUAGCGGUGAAAUGCGUAGAUAUCGGAAGGAACACCAGUGGCGAAAGCGGCUUCCUGGUCCGACACCGACGUUCAGGCACGAAAGCGUGGGGAGCAAACAGG